GUCGGGGGAGUGUCCUGCCCUAUUUUUUUACCGCCGACUCUCAUUUUUUCGGCAUCCACAGGCUUCCCUGGAUGUGGGCUUUCGGGAAGGCUCUGUUACUUUCCAGUCUUUUCCAGGGUAAAUUUAUCCACCACUGAGGGAGAACCCCAGCGGCUGCUGCCCCCGUGGAAAGGGUGCCGAGAGGAAGAGCUGCAGCCCAAGGCCGGCUGAAAACCCGGGGUUAAAACCAGAGUAUGUUUGCUCAGCAGGUACCCGAAGGAGCGACCCUGAGGUUUGCUCUCCCGUUUUGCUCUGUCGGCCCCUUUGCGUUUAUAGGUCUUUUGGAAUCCAACCAGAGGACUGCAGGUGAGAGAGAAGCAGGGAUACACAUCACCAGAAGGUUGUGUUCCAGCAGUGGGAAAGCUUCGAGAAGCUGCUAAAAGCGUUCUACACUGCAUUUUUCUCUGACCAGACUUCACGUGGAGAAGACACACAUUGAUCAGGACAGAGUCACAUGUGAACAAACCAGCUGAACUGGGAAAAAACUUGCAGU
RNAcentral lists this long non-coding RNA (532 nucleotides) under Manacus vitellinus (golden-collared manakin). RNAcentral describes it as "lncRNA (ENSMVIG00005009147.1)". The record is from RNAcentral. Lineage: Eukaryota; Metazoa; Chordata; Aves; Passeriformes; Pipridae.